Molecule: ribosomal RNA, 549 nt
Filed under: uncultured bacterium
Lineage: Bacteria
Description: bacterial SSU rRNA
Rfam family: Bacterial small subunit ribosomal RNA
Source: RNAcentral
AACGCGAAGAACCUUACCAAGGCUUGACAUGACGGAAGUAGCAACCUGAAAGGGGAGUCACCUGUUGAGUCAGGAACCGUCACAGGUGCUGCAUGGUUGUCGUCAGCUCGUGCCGUGAGGUGUUGGGUUAAGUCCUGUAACGAGCGCAACCCCUGCUGUCAGUUGUUUUUUCUGGCGAGACUGCCCCGAGAAACGGGGAGGAAGGUGGGGAUGACGUCAAGUCAGCAUGGCCCUUACGCCUUGGGCUACACACACGCUACAAUGGGUAGUACAAAAGGUAGCAAUAGAGCAAUCUGGAGCCAAUCCUAAAAACUAUCCUCAGUUCGGAUUGCAGGCUGAAACUCGCCUGCAUGAAGCUGGAGUUGCUAGUAACCGCAGGUCAGCAUACUGCGGUGAAUACGUUCUCGGGCCUUGUACACACCGCCCGUCACGUCAUGAAAGUCGGCAACACCUGAAGUCGAUGGGCUAACUUCGAUUUAUCGAGGAAGCAGUCGCCGAGGGUGGGGUUGAUGAUUGGGACGAAGUCGUAACAAGGUAACCUUAAUUAAA